AUGAAUUUAUAAAUAAAGUAUGCAUGUGCAGUAUGUCCAUGUGUGUAUUACAGUAACAUGCAAAGGAUACAGGGUCAAAAGAGCCAUAAGGAAGUGAUGGAAUCAUCACACAGAGCAAUGAAUUCAUGUUAAAUGUAUCUGUAUUUUUGGCAACAUAUUUAUGAUUUGCAUAACAUGUGGUGCAUUUCAUGGUGUAAUGUAGUGUGAAACCUAUGUCAUUGUAAUUCAAUGUGUUUUUUAUCCGAUCAAGUCAGUUUAUGUAAUGCACACACAAACACUAUGUGAAUGUCUCUUGUGCUUUUUUCCCCCCUUGUUCUUCGUCGUGUUCAUUAGCUCAUGUUAUCUCAUUAUCUCUGUCCUCAGUCAGUUAGUCAGUCAAUCAGCAUCUCUUUCUUUCUCUCUCUCUCUUUCACUGGACCACCAGUCUGCAAGUCAACACCAUUAGAUCCUGAUUUUGUCACCGCCUUCCUUCCUGACACUUGCAAUCUAUUCUCUGCCCGUCAGUCAUAAUCCUGUUAUUCUUAUAGAUAUAUGUGGGUGUGUUCGGUUCUGUGGAUGUUCAACCAUUCGUGUUUGCCCUUGCAUGUGUGUGUAUGUGUCUGUCUGUAGUAAUGCUUUCUGAAGGCAUGACCAGAGUUCAACUACAAACUUAACACAGUUGAUGAAGCAUAAAUAAGCUUAAUCAAGAUGAGCAUAGGUCAGACUGAACACAGGGCCCACAAAACACACACACACAAAUAAAAAACUCUAUGCUGGAAUACUUCUCAAGUGCUAUUUCUAGGUUGUUCCCCAUGGAUGAGUGCAGAUACAAGUACAAUCACAUCAGAAACAGCUCAUAUCAGGAUAUAAUGUCCUACAGCAAAGAGUUGACAUUGGCUACACAAAUAGAAAGUGUGAUACAUUUAAGAAAAGAAACAGUAAUUGUGAAUUAUCCAUUUGUUUCACAAAACAUUAAGUUAAUCAACCUGUUUUCAAUUUUAAUCUAAUCUAACUAGAAAAGAGAAUAUGCUUCAAGAAUAACACACACAUUUAAAAAUAAGCUUUUUUUGUUUUGCUGGUCAUUUGAAGCAGUGCACUGCAAAAAGACCAUCUCAGACAGAUUGAUUUUUUUUUUGUUCACCUACCUUACCUCCAGUUCACUGACUUCUGGUUCCAUUGUGAGCAGGGUGAGGCUAUACCAUGCUUCAGUCCCUUGAGAUGAAUAACAAAGCCUAUCUGUCUCCAGAGCUCCUAAACUUGGCCUCAGACGAUGGUUUUACUCCUGCUUGGCCUAGCUCGGGUUGGCAGUGAUGCUCCAGGUUUUGUUGGACAGUGAUGAAAGCUGUGGCCAGGUGUGUGUUUCAGUGGAAGACGACAGGUGUGUGUUUGCUGCUGUGCCAUGUGCCAUAUUAUGUGUUUUCAUGUCUACGUGGAGCUACUGUGUCUAAGUUGGUGUGUAAGGUCUGUCUCUCCUUGUGUGUGUGUGUGGUCUCUCCAGGACAGAGGAUGGAUGUCCUUGUCAGCACUGAUAGGCAGAGCCGUGUCGAGUUGUCAGGUAGACAGCAGCAGCAACAUCCAAGCUGGAAGUAGCGUGAUGACAGAAAUGAGGGAUGGGCAACGACAUCAAAGGAACCAGGAACAUUGCGACUCAUGGUCACUAGGACAUCCAACGGCCUCCUCCAUCUGGUCUUCCAAGGGGACAUCAACUUGUCAACUUGAGCUGUCUCCCUAGGUUAACCUUCAGCUGACAGUCGAAAAACAGCGGCAAGAAGUUUACUUGAUCUUGAGCACUGCUGCUUUCAAGACCAAUUGUCUUCCUUGGUACCAUCACUGCAUACAGCUACAGUACACACAAAGAGCCCCUCUAUGUCUAAGGAAAUAUUCCAGGGCCAUCAAAGGAGACCCCAGUUGGAGCAGUGACAUUAUAGCCUACAGUUGGAAGUGGCCAUUCUGCUCUUGCCUGCAUUGUUCAAGGAGGACCCAGGGUUUUUGUUUGAAGUUGAGGACCAUGCUCAGACUAGCACUCCUGGCAUCUCAACACUGAAGAUGGUGCUUAAAGGCUGCGAGGAGGGUCACCCUAUGCAGUAUGACCACAUUGUGCUCACAUUAGUUGGUCAGUUGAUCACAGAAGAGAGCGAGGACAUCUCGAUGGCACUGGGCCUCCUCCUGUGUGUAUAUUUCGUGUUUGGAAUCCAGUAUCCUAAAGGACUGAAAAAGACACUGACCUUUUUGGAGUGUGUUAUUUUGAAAUUGAAGGAUGCAGCUGGACUUCCUGUCACAGUAAAAAGGUGUACAACUCAAUCUGUGAGUAGACUGUAGGAGAGUAUAUAACUCAGUUUGCGAGUGUAUGUAUUAGUUUCGCUUACUCUCUCACUCACCCUCACUCUAAUGUUAAAAGCUCCUGACUAGUUCUUUAUUUUGUUCAGAAAAUCUAAUGUAGGACUAAGCCUAUAGGCCAAAAAGAGACCUGCUUACAGGGCUGCAGUAAAUGGCUAUGGGCCAGAAUGUUUGUAAACCAGGACUCUCUCUUCCACAAAAUUUAACAUAUUUUAAGCUUGUUGCAAUAUUUUGUAUUUCUAUAUUGUAUUUUUUGGAAUAUAUGUG
Molecule: long non-coding RNA, 2583 nt
Organism: Thunnus maccoyii (southern bluefin tuna)
Lineage: Eukaryota; Metazoa; Chordata; Actinopteri; Scombriformes; Scombridae
Exons: 7
Source: RefSeq, a predicted model, not a curated record